UUCCUUGUGGCUCAGCUGGUAAAGAAUCUGCCUGCAAUGCAGAAGACCUAGGUUUGAUCCCUGGGUUGGAAA
RNAcentral lists this transfer RNA (72 nucleotides) under Ovis aries (sheep). It matches the Rfam family "tRNA". From Rfam's summary of the family: Transfer RNA (tRNA) molecules are approximately 80 nucleotides in length. Their secondary structure includes four short double-helical elements and three loops (D, anti-codon, and T loops). Further hydrogen bonds mediate the characteristic L-shaped molecular structure. tRNAs have two regions of fundamental functional importance: the anti-codon, which is responsible for specific mRNA codon recognition, and the 3' end, to which the tRNAs corresponding amino acid is attached (by aminoacyl-tRNA synthetases). tRNAs cope with the degeneracy of the genetic code in two manners: having more than one tRNA (with a specific anti-codon) for a particular amino acid; and 'wobble' base-pairing, i.e. permitting non-standard base-pairing at the 3rd anti-codon position. The record is from Rfam by way of RNAcentral. Lineage: Eukaryota; Metazoa; Chordata; Mammalia; Artiodactyla; Bovidae.